RNAcentral lists this ribosomal RNA (235 nucleotides) under uncultured bacterium. Its description in RNAcentral is "partial 16S ribosomal RNA". It matches the Rfam family "Bacterial small subunit ribosomal RNA", at positions 334 to 561 of the family's 1533-position model. The record is from RNAcentral.
AACCCCUACGGGAGGCAGCAGUAGGGAAUUUUCGGCAAUGGGGGGAACCCUGACCGAGCAACGCCGAGUGGAGGAAGAAGGAAUUCGUUCUGUAAACUUUUGUUAUAAAGGAAGAAAGUCGGAUGGAGGAAGUGACAUCCGAGUGACGGUACUUUAUGAGAAAGCCACGGCUAACUACGUGCCAGCAGCCGCGGUAAUACGUAGGGGGCAAGCGUUAUCCGGAAUUAUUGGGCGU